GUGGGGAAUCUUGCGCAAUGGGCGAAAGCCUGACGCAGCCAUGCCGCGUGAAUGAUGAAGGUCUUAGGAUUGUAAAAUUCUUUCACCGGGGACGAUAAUGACGGUACCUGGAGAAUAAGCUCCGGCUAACUCCGUGCCAGCAGCCGCGGUAAUACGGAGGGAGCUAGCGUUGUUCGGAAUUACUGGGCGUAAAGCGCGCGUAGGCGGACAGCUUAGUCAGAGGUGAAAGCCCAGGGCUCAACCUUGGAAUUGCCUUUGAUACUGGGUGUCUUGAGUUUGGGAGAGGUGAGUGGAACUCCGAGUGUAGAGGUUAAAUUCGUAGAUAUUCGGAAGAACACCAGUGGCGAAGGCGACUCACUGGCCCAAUACUGACGCUGAGGCGCGAAAGCGUGAGGAGCAAACAGGAUUAGAAACCCCUGUAGUCC
Molecule: ribosomal RNA, 425 nt
Filed under: uncultured bacterium
Lineage: Bacteria
Description: partial 16S ribosomal RNA
Rfam family: Bacterial small subunit ribosomal RNA
Source: RNAcentral